GAGUAAUGUCUGGGAAACUGCCUGAUGGAGGGGGAUAACUACUGGAAACGGUGGCUAAUACCGCAUAACGUCGCAAGACCAAAGAGGGGGACCUUCGGGCCUCUUGCCAUCAGAUGUGCCCAGAUGGGAUUAGCUUGUUGGUGAGGUAACGGCUCACCAAGGCGACGAUCCCUAGCUGGUCUGAGAGGAUGACCAGCCACACUGGAACUGAGACACGGUCCAGACUCCUACGGGAGGCAGCAGUGGGGAAUAUUGCACAAUGGGCGCAAGCCUGAUGCAGCCAUGCCGCGUGUAUGAAGAAGGCCUUCGGGUUGUAAAGUACUUUCAGCGGGGAGGAAGGUGUUGUGGUUAAUAACCGCAGCAAUUGACGUUACCCGCAGAAGAAGCACCGGCUAACUCCGUGCCAGCAGCCGCGGUAAUACGGAGGGUGCAAGCGUUAAUCGGAAUUACUGGGCGUAAAGCGCACGCAGGCGGUCUGUCAAGUCGGAUGUGAAAUCCCCGGGCUCAACCUGGGAACUGCAUUCGAAACUGGCAGGCUUGAGUCUUGUAGAGGGGGGUAGAAUUCCAGGUGUAGCGGUGAAAUGCGUAGAGAUCUGGAGGAAUACCGGUGGCGAAGGCGGCCCCCUGGACAAAGACUGACGCUCAGGUGCGAAAGCGUGGGGAGCAAACAGGAUUAGAUACCCUGGUAGUCCACGCCGUAAACGAUGUCUACUUGGAGGUUGUGCCCUUGAGGCGUGGCUUCCGGAGCUAACGCGUUAAGUAGACCGCCUGGGGAGUACGGCCGCAAGGUUAAAACUCAAAUGAAUUGACGGGGGCCCGCACAAGCGGUGGAGCAUGUGGUUUAAUUCGAUGCAACGCGAAGAACCUUACCUGGUCUUGACAUCCACGGAAGUUUUCAGAGAUGAGAAUGUGCCUUCGGGAACCGUGAGACAGGUGCUGCAUGGCUGUCGUCAGCUCGUGUUGUGAAAUGUUGGGUUAAGUCCCGCAACGAGCGCAAC
This 998-nucleotide ribosomal RNA is filed under the name Salmonella enterica. Its description in RNAcentral is "bacterial SSU rRNA". It matches the Rfam family "Bacterial small subunit ribosomal RNA", at positions 108 to 1102 of the family's 1533-position model. The record is from RNAcentral. Lineage: Bacteria; Pseudomonadati; Pseudomonadota; Gammaproteobacteria; Enterobacterales; Enterobacteriaceae. RNAcentral also lists the same sequence under 1 other name.